AUACGGAGGGGGCUAGCGUUGUUCGGAAUUACUGGGCGUAAAGCGCGUGUAGGCGGAUCGUUAAGUCAGGGGUGAAAGCCCGGGGCUCAACCCCGGAACUGCCCUUGAUACUGGCGAUCUAGAGUCCGGAAGAGGUGGGCGGAAUUCCCGGUGUAGAGGGGAAAUUCGUAGAUAUCGGGAGGAACACCAGUGGCGAAGGCGGCUCACUGGUCCGGUACUGACGCUGAGACGCGAAAGCGUGGGGAGCAAACAGGAUUAGAAACCCUAGUAGUCC
Molecule: ribosomal RNA, 274 nt
Filed under: uncultured bacterium
Lineage: Bacteria
Description: partial 16S ribosomal RNA
Rfam family: Bacterial small subunit ribosomal RNA
Source: RNAcentral